Long non-coding RNA from Brassica napus (rape), 941 nucleotides. RefSeq lists it as uncharacterized. The record is from RefSeq and is a predicted model, not a curated record. The transcript is spliced from 7 exons. NCBI's taxonomy places the organism in Eukaryota, Viridiplantae, Streptophyta, Magnoliopsida, Brassicales, Brassicaceae.
CUUCUAUACAGACUGUGUAAGAGAUAGAAACAGAGAGAGAGAGAGAGAGAGUGGAGUUUACUAAGAUAGAGAUGGGAGGUGUGACUUCUUCAAUUGCGAUGAAGGUGGCGCUCUUCGGCCGUAUCAGUUAACUUGCAAGGCAAUCAGAGACAACGCAUACGGUGGUCCGAUGUUGGAGCUCUCUAUCGAGCUAACUAUUCAGCUUUUUGUCAAUUUGAUGGGAAAACGAGUACCGUUUCCAAAGGAGAGGAAAUCUAUCUAAAUAUAUCCAAAGUACCAGGAGAUUGUUAAUAUUCGCUUAGGUGAUGGAUCUAUGAGACGUGGUCAGGUCAUGGAGGUUGAUGGCGAGAAAGAUGUUGUCCAAGGCAAUUGGCUGUACAGGUACAAUGUUCUCAAUAAACUUAUUUUCUUUUGGUUUCAGGUUUUUGAAAGAACAUCUGAAAUUGACACCGUUCAAUUCACUGAGUUACUGAAAACACAUGUAUCUCAAUAGAUGCUUGGGCGCAUUUUUAACGGCUCAAGAAAGACAAUUGAUUAUGGCCCUCCUAUUUUGCCUGAGGCAUACCUUGAUAUUUCUGAUGUGCAUGAGACUAUUCCUGAAGGCAUUAAUCUUAGAGGAGACAUAAACGGCUGUGCUAAAUCCUCAUUCCUAAGGCGUAGUGUGUGUAUACAUCUAGGAAGUCCUCUUCUGCAGCUGGGUUGAUUGCAACUGUGGCUAAAAAAAACUUAAACUGGCUGGUGCUUUAACGCUUGAUAAUGGAAUAUGUUGCGUUCAUGAGUUUGACAAGAUGGAUAUGUAAAACCAGGCUGCAAUUCGAGAAGCCAUAGAGCAGCCACAAUAAGCACUAUUUUUCUGUGUGUAGAUCCGUCUACUUCCCAUGCUUGAGGAGUAUAACUUACUCAUGCGGUAAAGAGAAAGAACACCGACUCCAAUGGGCAUG